GAGGCCAUAGCUCAGUGGUAGAGCGCAUGCUUAGCAUGCAAGAGGUCCUGGGUUCAAUCCCCCAUACCUCCA
Molecule: transfer RNA, 72 nt
Filed under: Camelus bactrianus (Bactrian camel)
Lineage: Eukaryota; Metazoa; Chordata; Mammalia; Artiodactyla; Camelidae
Also listed under: 2 other names
Rfam family: tRNA
About the family: Transfer RNA (tRNA) molecules are approximately 80 nucleotides in length. Their secondary structure includes four short double-helical elements and three loops (D, anti-codon, and T loops).
Source: Rfam by way of RNAcentral